Molecule: ribosomal RNA, 310 nt
Filed under: uncultured soil bacterium
Lineage: Bacteria
Description: bacterial SSU rRNA
Rfam family: Bacterial small subunit ribosomal RNA
Source: RNAcentral
AGCCUGAACGCUGGCGGCGUGGCUAAGUCAUGCAAGUCGCACGGGCCGUAGCAAUACGGUCAGUGGCGAACGGGUGAGUAAAGUGUCGCUAACGUGCCCCGGACUCCGGGAUAGCUAUCCGAAAGGGUAGGUAAUACCGGUUAACAUACUUAGGAGGCAUCUCCUGAGUCUCAAAGGUCCGCCGGUCCGGGAGCGGGCUACGAUACGGACUCAAGUCUAGUUGGUGAGGUAACGGCUCACCAAGGCGACGACGCGUAGCGGGACUGAGAGGUCGGCCCGCACAUCGGGGACUGAGACACUGCCGGACUCC